Non-coding RNA from Listeria floridensis FSL S10-1187, 256 nucleotides. Lineage: Bacteria; Bacillati; Bacillota; Bacilli; Caryophanales; Listeriaceae. The record is from Rfam.
AUGCUGUCUAAAAACUAGCAGUACAUAAUCAGGUUUUGUCAAGCAAGUGUUUUAUAGGGAAUGAAUGAUGGCGCAUUCAUUUUCUAAUCCUAAUUUUUCCUACGAAAGGACGAUGUACACAAUGGCUUCUAAAACGAAGAAGGCAAUUAUUGAUGUGAAAAAGCAAUUUGAUGCGGUUUCAGAACAGUUUGAAAUGGUUCAAAUUUUAAAUGAAAAAGGAGAAGUUGUGAAUCCUGACAUUAUGCCGGACAUCACU